Molecule: ribosomal RNA, 371 nt
Filed under: uncultured bacterium
Lineage: Bacteria
Description: bacterial SSU rRNA
Rfam family: Bacterial small subunit ribosomal RNA
Source: RNAcentral
AGAGGGGGCCAGCGUUGUUCGGAAUUAUUGGGCGUAAAGGGCGCGUAGGCGGCUACACAAGUCACACGUGAAAUCCCUCGGCUCAACCGGGGAAUUGCGUCUGAUACUGUGCGGCUUGAGUCCUGGAGAGGGUAGUGGAAUUCCCAGUGUAGCGGUGAAAUGCGUAGAUACUGGGAGGAACACCGGUGGCGAAGGCGGCUACCUGGACAGUGACUGACGCUGAGGCGCGAAAGCUAGGGGAGCAAACAGGAUUAGAUACCCUGGUAGUCCUAGCUGUAAACGAUGGGCACUUGGUGUUGCGGGUAUCGACCCCUGCAGUGCCGAAGCUAACGCAUUAAGUGCCCCGCCUGGGGAGUACGGUCGCAAGGCUG